This is a long non-coding RNA of Nothobranchius furzeri (turquoise killifish), 1638 nucleotides long. Lineage: Eukaryota; Metazoa; Chordata; Actinopteri; Cyprinodontiformes; Nothobranchiidae. The record is from Ensembl.
AUGGAAGUUGUGAAAACAGAAAAGGUCAAAGUUUCAAAUGCUGUUUUAAUCAGUGGGUUAACUGAUACAGACCUUGAUAACGAAGUCUUUGGGUUUAUGGAAGGAUUCGGACCAGUUAACAGGCGCAUUAAGUUACCAAACUGUGAUCAGAUUAUUGUGGAGUUUCAACAUGAAGCCACUGUUAAGGAAUUAAAGAAACAAUGUUUACCCUAUGACAAACCUUGUACUAGGAACCCAGAUGUUUUCUUCCAUAUUCAAGACCUAGCCAGCGCGUACAGUCUAGAAACUAGCACAUCUGCCACUGAUGCCUAUCUGUCAGAGCUCAGGGACAUAGCUGCGCGUAGCAAUCAAUCAUUUAAAGACCUUCUAAUGGAGGAACUGGCAAAAAUUGGGGAAUCUUUAGGAAGGGAUACCCAUGCAUCUGAACCAGUCACUGAACCAGAGCCAAUGCUCCAUAGUGACCAAGUUACAUAUUCCCUGCCUUUAACACCAGAAGUUAACUAUAUGAACAACUCAAAGGACAAUUGUCCACCUACAGAGACUGGAAAACAAAACCCUUGCAUUCCACCAAAUCUUUUAAACACACCUGAGGUUCAGCGAGUUAUUGUGGAACACAUUGUUAAAAGCAGUGAGGUUAUCCCUCCGCCUACUUCACAAUACAGACUAAAACCGUUCUCAGGGCGAGUUCCACACCCUUCUUUUGAAACUGACUAUGAUACUUGGCGUAGUAGUGUAGUGUUAUGCAUAAAUGAUCCUUCACUCACCAAGUCCCAAAUUGUACGAAGAAUCGUGGAGAGUCUGUCAGCCCCAGCAGCGAGCAUCGUUAAAGCUCUUAGUCCAAAAUCCGACCCGGAAACGUACCUUGAACAUCUCGAUUCAGCUUACGCAGCUGUCGAAGACGGCGACGAGCUCUUUGCUCGCUUCUUAAACACAAACCAGGACAGUGGUGAAAAACCUUCCGAUUACUUUCAGAGGUUAUACACCUUGUUAAACCUAGUUAUUCAGAGGAAUGGAAUUUCCUCCAGUGACGCCGACCAGCAGCUGCUCAAGCAGUUUUGCAGAGGCUGUUGGGACAGCUCGCUGAUUUCAAACCUGCAACUCGAACAAAAGAAAGACAACCCGCCUCAUUUUACAGCACUUCUCCUCAAACUGCGCACUGAAGAAGACAAACAGGCUACUAAAGCAGCACGCAUGAAACAACACUUAGGGGCACAACGAACUAGAGUGUAUUCAAAUGUGCAAACAACAUGCUCUCAGAGUAAAAACACUUGUGAACUGGAAAUAGAUGAUAACUGUGAUGACUUACGCAAACAAAUCGCUGAGCUCAGGAGCCAAAUUGCACAGCUUAAGGUUAACAACACAGAUAAAAAGGCAAAGAAAACUCAAAAAGAGUCAAAACCCCGUGUGGGGACUAAAAUUCCAGAUGAGCCCAAACAGAUUCAGCAGAUAACAGCAGUGGUGCCCAGACCAAAGCCUGGAUACUGUUUUAAGUGCGGAGAAGAUGGGCACAUAGCUUCUAGCUGUAGCAACGAGCCAAAUCCAGCACUAGUUGCAACUAAAAGACUUGCUCUUAGACAGAAGCAGCGCGAGUGGGAGAUGUCAAAGCCAAUUGCUCAGUCUCCUCCUUUAAACCGGUAG